GCGCAUGAAAACGCCAUGCUUGCAUGAAGCGUUUUCUGCAUUUGGCGAACGUACAUACAUGAGCAAGUAGGCAGAUAUGCCGGAUUGCGAAUGGAUGUAGUGUGAUGAGAGUGCGUAGCACGAAGUCACACGUA
This 134-nucleotide small RNA is filed under the name uncultured Eubacterium sp. RNAcentral describes it as "Clostridiales-1 RNA". It matches the Rfam family "Clostridiales-1 RNA", at positions 18 to 159 of the family's 166-position model. The record is from RNAcentral. RNAcentral also lists the same sequence under 1 other name. Lineage: Bacteria; Bacillati; Bacillota; Clostridia; Eubacteriales; Eubacteriaceae.